GUAUUGGUUGGUCGACUACCUUUUGAAAAUGUAGAACAAAUAGAAUGGUACUUCCAUAUAACUGAUAUUUGAGGAAAAAUCUUAGCUCCAAACAAGUCAUCUUCAAUAUAACUCUACUUAAUUGUGCAUUAACGGAUCUGUAAUAAAGAUAUCUUGGGAUAACACCAUUUUAUUAGUCUCAAAAUGAUGAUGCAUCUGACCUUGUGCGACCAAGAAUAACCUGAACACGUAUACAUGACCAAAAAAACUUUAAGAAUUUCCGUUAUGAGUCGACUCUGCAAUUGGCAUAAUUACCACUACCUGAUAGGAAAACCAAUUUCAACAGAAAUAAGAUCAGCAUUAAGUUUGUCUUUGAAGUUAAAAAUU
Molecule: long non-coding RNA, 366 nt
Organism: Nicrophorus vespilloides
Lineage: Eukaryota; Metazoa; Arthropoda; Insecta; Coleoptera; Silphidae
Exons: 3
Source: RefSeq, a predicted model, not a curated record